GACGAACGCUGGCGGCGUGCUUAACACAUGCAAGUCGAACGGAAAGGCCCUGCUUUUGUGGGGUGCUCGAGUGGCGAACGGGUGAGUAACACGUGAGUAACCUGCCCUUGACUUUGGGAUAACUUCAGGAAACUGGGGCUAAUCCCGGAUAGGAGCUCCUGCUGCAUGGUGGGGGUUGGAAAGUUUCGGCGGUUGGGGAUGGACUCGCGGCUUAUCGGCUUGUUGGUGGGGUAGUGGCUUACCAAGGCUUUGACGGGUAGCCGGCCUGAGAGGGUGACCGGACAAAUUAGAAAUGAGAUAAGGCACGGACUACUACGGGAGGGAGCAGUGGGGAAUAUUGAACAAUGGGCGGAAGCAUGAUGCGGCAAAGCCGCGUGCGGGAUGACAGCAUUCGGGUUGUAAACCGAUUUCGCCUGUGACGAAGCGUGAGUGACGGUAAUGGGUAAAGAAGCACCGGCUAACUACGUG
This 468-nucleotide ribosomal RNA is filed under the name uncultured bacterium. Its description in RNAcentral is "partial 16S ribosomal RNA". It matches the Rfam family "Bacterial small subunit ribosomal RNA", at positions 28 to 507 of the family's 1533-position model. The record is from RNAcentral.